RNAcentral lists this long non-coding RNA (362 nucleotides) under Daucus carota (carrot). Its description in RNAcentral is "long non-coding RNA (DCAR_LNC005809)". Lineage: Eukaryota; Viridiplantae; Streptophyta; Magnoliopsida; Apiales; Apiaceae. The record is from RNAcentral.
UAGGGUCUUCAGCCAGAACUGGUAGAGUGUUUCACAGGGAGAAGUGGAAGGCGCCUUCAGGUGAUACUUUAAAGCUUAAUGUGGAUGCAUCAAUAACUCCCGGCACAUCAUCAUUCUCAAUCGGCUGGGUCCUGCGAGAUCGAGGUGGUGCUUUUCAAGGUGGCCGAGUAAUGCGUAUUAACAGAGAAGUGUCGGUUCUGGAGGCUGAGACAAUAGGCAUUCUUGAGGCUUUAUCUUGGGUGGUGAAUACAACAGACAAGCAGGUGUGUAUUGAGUCUGAUUCACUCACAGCCGUGAACGCAAUUGUCAAAGGCAUUACUUAUCAGUCAGAGUUAGGCCAUGUUUUUGAUGAAUGUCGCCUG